This is a non-coding RNA of Vicia faba (fava bean), 243 nucleotides long. The record is from the annotation of a GenBank genome assembly. NCBI's taxonomy places the organism in Eukaryota, Viridiplantae, Streptophyta, Magnoliopsida, Fabales, Fabaceae.
AUGUUUUGUUUCUAUUAUAAGCCAUCUCCUCCUAUUUUGCAAAUCACAAAAAUAUUUGGUUCACAAAAGGGAAAAGAAAUUCGCAACUAUUUCAUUGAAAAACAACUCAAAACAACAAAAGCGCAGCAGCAAACCAAAACAACAAAAGCGCAACAAGAAAUACAAAAAACAAGCAGCACAACAUCCCAAAGCGGCAUAUGCAAGCUAUCAAAACCUUAUGUCAUCAUUUUCCUAAUAUUGUAA